AGUGAACGCUGGCGGUAGGCCUAACACAUGCAAGUCGAACGGCAGCACAGUAAGAGCUUGCUCUUACGGGUGGCGAGUGGCGGACGGGUGAGGAAUACAUCGGAAUCUACUUUUUCGUGGGGGAUAACGUAGGGAAACUUACGCUAAUACCGCAUACGACCUACGGGUGAAAGCAGGGGAUCUUCGGACCUUGCGCGAAUGAAUGAGCCGAUGUCGGAUUAGCUAGUUGGCGGGGUAAAGGCACACCAAGGCGACGAUCCGUAGCUGGUCUGAGUGGAUGAUCGGCCACACUGGAACUGAGACACGGUCCAGACUCCUACGGGAGGCAGCAGUGGGGAAUAUUGGACAAUGGGCGCAAGCCUGAUCCAGUCAUCCCGCGUGGGUGAAGACGGCCUUCGGGUUGUAAAGCCCUUUUGUUGGGAAAGAAAAGCAGCAGGUUAAUACCCCGCUGUUCUGACGGUACCCAAAGAAUAAGCACCGGCUAACUUCGUG
This 492-nucleotide ribosomal RNA is filed under the name uncultured bacterium. RNAcentral describes it as "partial 16S ribosomal RNA". It matches the Rfam family "Bacterial small subunit ribosomal RNA", at positions 29 to 507 of the family's 1533-position model. The record is from RNAcentral.